Molecule: ribosomal RNA, 497 nt
Filed under: uncultured bacterium
Lineage: Bacteria
Description: partial 16S ribosomal RNA
Rfam family: Bacterial small subunit ribosomal RNA
Source: RNAcentral
GAUGAACGCUGGCGGCGUGCCUAAUACAUGCAAGUCGAGCGAACGGACGAGAAGCUUGCUUUUCUGAUGUUAGCGGCGGACGGGUGAGUAACACGUGGAUAACCUACCUAUAAGACUGGGAUAACUUCGGGAAACCGGAGCUAAUACCGGAUAAUAUUUUGAACCGCAUGGUUCAAAAGUGAAAGACGGUCUUGCUGUCACUUAUAGAUGGAUCCGCGCUGCAUUAGCUAGUUGGUAAGGUAACGGCUUACCAAGGCAACGAUGCAUAGCCGACCUGAGAGGGUGAUCGGCCAGCCGGGAACUGAGGCACGGUCCAGACUCCUACAGGAGGCAGCAGUAGGGAAUCGUCCGCAAUGGGCGAAAGCCUAACGGAGCAACGCCGCGUGAGUGAUGAAGGUGUUCGGAUCGGAAAACUCUGUUAUUAGGGAAGAACAUAUAUUUAAGUAACUGUGCACAUCUUGACGGUACCUAAUCAGAAAGCCACGGCUAACUACGUG